This 466-nucleotide ribosomal RNA is filed under the name uncultured bacterium. RNAcentral describes it as "bacterial SSU rRNA". It matches the Rfam family "Bacterial small subunit ribosomal RNA", at positions 32 to 518 of the family's 1533-position model. The record is from RNAcentral.
AACGCUGGCGGCGUGCUUCAUACAUGCAAGUCGAACGAGAAGUCACCUUCGGGUGAUGGAAAGUGGCGGACGGGUGAGUAAUGUGUAGAGAAUCUGCCCUUUAGUGGGGGACAACAGUUGGAAACGACUGCUAAUACCCCAUAUGCGCGUAGCUGAGAUGCUAUUCGUGAAAACUCCGGUGCUAAAGGAUGAGUCUGCAUCUGAUUAGCUAGUUGGCGGUGUAAUGGACCACCAAGGCGACGAUCAGUAGCUGGUUUGAGAGGAUGAUCAGCCACAAUGGGACUGAGACACGGCCCAUACUCCUACGGGAGGCAGCAGUAGGGAAUUUUGCGCAAUGGGGGAAACCCUGACGCCAGCAACGCCGCGUGAUUGAAUAAGCCCUUCGGGGUGUAAAGAUCUGUCAGUAGGGACGAAACUUGACGGUACCUACAGAGGAAGCAUCGGCUAACUCCGUGCCAGCCGCUGC